Molecule: ribosomal RNA, 254 nt
Filed under: uncultured prokaryote
Description: partial 16S ribosomal RNA
Rfam family: Bacterial small subunit ribosomal RNA
Source: RNAcentral
ACGGGGGGAGCAAGCGUUGUUCGGAUUUACUGGGCGUAAAGGGCGCGUAGGCGGCCACCGCAAGUCGACUGUGAAAUCUCCGGGCUUAACCCGGAAAGGUCAGCCGAUACUGCGGGGCUAGAGUGCAGAAGGGGCAACUGGAAUUCUCGGUGUAGCGGUGAAAUGCGUAGAUAUCUGAAGGAACAUCAGUGGCGAAAGCGACUUCCUGGACCAAUACUGACGCUCAUGUGCGAAAGCGUGGGGAGCAAACAGGG